Molecule: long non-coding RNA, 1561 nt
Organism: Peromyscus eremicus (cactus mouse)
Lineage: Eukaryota; Metazoa; Chordata; Mammalia; Rodentia; Cricetidae
Exons: 4
Source: RefSeq, a predicted model, not a curated record
ACAUUCUGUAGGUCUCUGUAGCACCCUCUUCUCCAUGACAGUGAGGUCAUGCCAGGAGGAAAUGACUUCUUCCAGACACCAGUCCAGAUGUGUCAGACUACCAAACCAGGACUAGAGGGAGGUCCUCCCAGAAUCCAGAAGGGGAGAGCACUAGAUCCCCUGGAGCCGGAGUUACAGAUGGUCAUGAGCUACCUGAUACGGAUGCUGGGAACUAAUCUUGGGUUCACUGAAAAAGGACCUUGAAAAUCCUACUUCAUCAUAGAAUCUACGAGAAAUGAUUUAGCUGUUCACCAGAGUCUGGCUACUGGCCUGUGUGUCUGAGCAGACCACCUGCUGGAGAGCUUGCUCAGCUCCUCAGAGGGCUGAGAGUUUAUGGAAGGAACAUCAUCAAGGCCCAAGUUGGAGGCCCAGUGAGCUGCUGAUGUCAUCAGUUCCAGUGUGAAGGUUGAAUUCAAGGCCAUCCAGUGGUGUAAACCCCAGUCGGAGGCAAGCCACCACACCCCAGCUGGAGCAGGCAGUAGGACAGAAGGAAGCAUAGAUUUAGCCUUCCUCCACCCUUUGUUCUGGCUGGGGCCCUGGAUGUCACAGGUGAUGCUGUCCACACUGGGGAGGGCUCUGCCUCACCCAGCCUGACUGUCCCCAAAACAGUCAGCCUCAGACAUAAUGGGAAGCAACAUUCAUGUGGGCUUCCUGAGGCUUAGCUAACUAUGACAUUAACCCUCACAGAAUCUGUGCCCCAUACAUACAUACAGUGCAUGCUGGCUGUCCCUGCCAGGCACCGUGUUGUCCUAAUAAGGCUGACAGUGGCCUUGGGCCUUCAGGGCCCAUGAGGCAGGGGUGGGCAGAUGUAGCCAGUACGGAGCUGAGCGCAGUCUGAGCCACUGCAGAGUUGGCCUGUAUAGGGCAUUGCUGGGCCAUCCAUCUUGCUAAUCAGGUCACCCUGGCAGCCUCAAGUUGUCAGGGAUGUCUGGCUGUGUCCCCAGUCAGAUUGGUUGCCAUAUGCUAUUCUGUUCCCUAAAGCAUCUUGGCCAGAGGGUGAUGGUGAGGGUUGGACCCCAAGCUCAGAGCAGAGGCCUGCUAGAGAGGAGGCUGGGACCUAAUUCUGGGCUUCAAAUGUCCUUAAACAUAGCAAGAGAGCAUUUUCUGAACCAUGUGGCACCAGGACCCUGUCUUGCCACACAAGGCAACACAGGCAAAGUCUAUUCCUGAGAUGGCAGCGGGGAGGCAGUCCUGGGUCUCCUCCAAAGCAUUACACAGGGCAGACUCAGAAAUUCCUAUAGAACCCGGCAGGUGCACUCUUCCUCAGCAAACUGAGGCCUGCGGUUUGACAUCCAACCACCAAGGCUCAGGUGUAGUGGGUAGCCAUUCCAGCUUUGAUCUGGAAGUUCCAACCCCCAUUGAGACUUCAGCAACUGUCACGCCUACAAGGCGGAGCCAAGGGAGGCACCUGGAGACCUGAGAUCUGGAUGGGCUGUGCUCUCACUCGGUUCUGGGACCUUGGACGGUGAAGGUGGGCCAAGCAGAGCUCCAGAGAACACUGCCGGACUGCGAUACACCUUCC